Molecule: long non-coding RNA, 311 nt
Organism: Sinocyclocheilus rhinocerous
Lineage: Eukaryota; Metazoa; Chordata; Actinopteri; Cypriniformes; Cyprinidae
Exons: 3
Source: RefSeq, a predicted model, not a curated record
GCAGGUCUUCAUGAUUGUGCUGAUGUGGAUCUCUUGUGUUGCAGUGAAUCAUGGCUCACAGUGACGGCUGAAGAAGCACAGGCGUCUCACGCACAGCUAUUGUCAUGGCCACGGGCUCCUCCAGAAGCGACAGAGAACGCUCUCAGCUGCAUGCCGUCGUUUCAUGUGCCAAACUCAAGAGGAAGAAGAACUGGUUCGGAACGGCCAUCUAUGUGGAAGUGACAUCAGAGGGGGAGAGCAAGAAAACCGCCAAAUCCCACAGUUCAUCCAGCCCCAAAUGGGAGGAACGUCUGACGCUGUGAGUCAGUGUG